This 1269-nucleotide long non-coding RNA is filed under the name Canis lupus familiaris (dog). RNAcentral describes it as "lncRNA (ENSCAFG00845003500.1)". The record is from RNAcentral. Lineage: Eukaryota; Metazoa; Chordata; Mammalia; Carnivora; Canidae.
CCGGGCCGGCUCACCCCGUACUGGGCUCACGGCAGGGCCAGGCUUUGCUCGGGGCACCGGCACUGUUGGCCUUUGGCUGUGCCCACAUUCUGGAACCAGGAGCUCUGACCACACACACAGCCUCUCCGGGGGCAGCGACCCUGCAGGGUCGGGAAUUCCCCCAAGCAGCCCUGAUUUCCAAAUUUUCCUUGCUGUGGUCAAGCUGAUCCAGAAAACACGGGAGCGUGAGCUUCCAGCCCCUGGAGGCGUGAUGGGGCAAAGACUUCGAGGAGCAAAUUGGAAGAUUUUUGAAACCAUAUUCCAAAAAGAUGCCUGAAAUGCUGAUUCUGUCCUGCUACGGGCUGAAUUUUGUCCCCCCUACCCCCGCAGGAUUCAUAUGGUGAAGCUCUAACCCCCAUGGGGCUGCAUUUGGAAUAAGAGAAUAAUUAAGGUUAAACGAGGUUCAGGGUGGAGCCCUGCUUAUCUCCUUGUAAAGGAGACACCAGAGAAUUUACUCUUUCUCAGCCCCAGGAGGACACAAUGAAAAGGUGACAAGCCAGGAAGAAGACCCUCACCAGCAACUUAACCUUGAUCUAGGAUUUCAGAGACUCCAGGACUGUGAGAAAUAAAUGUGUGUUGUCUAAGCCCUCCAGUCUGUGCUAGUUUGUUAUGGCAGCCCAAGCCGACUCUGCCCCUCUUAAAAUGCAGGGCUCCCUUGUGAUGAGCACUGGGUGUUGUAUGUAAGGGAUGAAUCACGGAAUUCUACUCCAGAAACCAAUGUUGCACUGUAUGUUAGCUAACAAGACUUAAAUUCAACAUUUUUUUAAAUAAAUAAAAUAGAGUGCACCUGGGUGGCUCAGUGGUUGGGCAUCUGCCUUCGGCUCAGGGCGUGAUCCCAGGGUCUGGGGAUCAAGUCUCUCAUCAGGAUCUCCAUAGGGAGCCUGCUUCUCCCUCUGCCUAUGACUCUGCCUCUCUCUGUGUGUGUCUCUUAUGGAUAAAUAAAUAAAAUCUUUUAAUUAAUUAAUUAAUUAAUUAAUAAUAUGCAGUGCCCCUUUUGCUGACGGUGACACUCCUUCCCUAAUUUCUCAGCAUGCACUUGAUGUUUACCUUGUGGCUCUCCUUCCCGGUGAGUUAGCCUUCAAGGUGAAGUUCCCAGGAUACCACGUUUCUGUGUACAGCCAGUCUCAACACCCACUUUUCUCUGCUUUUUUAAAAUUAUUUCUCUGCUUGGAGGACACAGGUUUGGCGAUGACUGCUGGGUCCAGCAGGUAUGUCCGGAGUCAGAAAAAG